Molecule: unclassified non-coding RNA, 295 nt
Filed under: uncultured Cortinariaceae
Lineage: Eukaryota; Fungi; Basidiomycota; Agaricomycetes; Agaricales; Cortinariaceae
Description: sequence contains 5.8S rRNA gene
Rfam family: 5.8S ribosomal RNA (bases 1-53)
Source: RNAcentral
GAACGCACCUUGCGCUCCUUGGUAUUCCGAGGAGCAUGCCUGUUUGAGUGUCAUUAAUAUAUAUCAACCUUCUCACUUGUUGAGAGGUUUGGAUGUGGGGGUUUGCUGGCCCUUUUUUUUUAAAAAAAAAAGGUUCAGCUCCUCUGAAAUGCAUUAGCAGAACAAACCUUGUUCAUUGGCGUGAUAACUAUCUACGCUAUUGAAUGCGAGGGGCAGUUCAGCUUUCUAAUGGUCCUCGGACAAAUUCAUCAUUAAUGUGACCUCAAAUCAGGUAGGACUACCCGCUGAACUUAAG